RNAcentral lists this ribosomal RNA (229 nucleotides) under uncultured Eubacteriales bacterium. Its description in RNAcentral is "uncultured Clostridiales bacterium partial 16S ribosomal RNA". It matches the Rfam family "Bacterial small subunit ribosomal RNA", at positions 104 to 334 of the family's 1533-position model. Lineage: Bacteria; Bacillati; Bacillota; Clostridia; Eubacteriales. The record is from RNAcentral.
GGGUGAGUAACACGUGAGUAACCUGCCUUACACAAGGGGAUAGCCGUUGGAAACGACGAAUAAUACCCUAUGAAACUAUCACUUCGCAUGAAGCGAUAGUCAAAGUGUUAGCGGUGUAAGAUGGACUUGCGUCUGAUUAGCCAGUUGGUGAGAAAAAGCCCACCAAGGCAACGAUCAGUAGCCGGCUUGAGAGAGUGUACGGCCACAUUGGGACUGAGACACGGCCCAG